AACACGAUCUAUUGCUUGAUCCUCUAUGCUCGGAUUAUAAAAUGGUUCCUGUAGAAUAACGUGAUUUGCAAUCGUCAAAUUCAAACCCACGCUGCCGGCUUUCAAUGAAACCAGCAUGACUAAAACAUCUUUAUCGUUAUUAAAAGAAUGUAGGGACUUUUGCCUCUGGUUCGCAGACAUAGUACCAUCAUAACGAACAUGUCGUAUAUUUUCUAAUUUUAGCAUGUGCGAUACGAGGCAUAAAUACUGGGAGAACUGAGAAUAGACCAGAAU
Schizosaccharomyces pombe (fission yeast) is the source of this 273-nucleotide non-coding RNA. NCBI's taxonomy places the organism in Eukaryota, Fungi, Ascomycota, Schizosaccharomycetes, Schizosaccharomycetales, Schizosaccharomycetaceae. The record is from the annotation of a GenBank genome assembly.